GUCCACGCCCUAAACGAUGACAACUAGUUGUUGGGGAUUUAACAUCCUUAGUAACGUAGCUAACGCGUGAAGUUGUCCGCCUGGGGAGUACGGUCGCAAGAUUAAAACUCAAAGGAAUUGACGGGGGCCCGCACAAGCGGUGGAUGAUGUGGUUUAAUUCGAUGCAACGCGUAAAACCUUACCUACCCUUGACAUGCUAGGAAGCCCGAUGAGAGUUGGGUGUGCCCGAAAGGGAGCCUAGACACAGGUGCUGCAUGGCUGUCGU
RNAcentral lists this ribosomal RNA (265 nucleotides) under uncultured bacterium. RNAcentral's name for it is "partial 16S ribosomal RNA". It matches the Rfam family "Bacterial small subunit ribosomal RNA", at positions 793 to 1055 of the family's 1533-position model. The record is from RNAcentral.